CCAAGUACAGUAUAUUCUUUUAAAUAUCAAAUUCAUUUUGUUCUGUAACAGGCAGUUGGCAUAAAGAACAUGGAUUUACAACAAGAGGACACGUAAACCUUUUUUAGACAUUUGGCAUGAAUUAACUCAGAUAGCAUAGAGGCAAUCAGCCAGCAGCAUAAAAGCUCAACAUCCCUGCCAAGAUUUUACAAGCCUCCUAUCUCUACCCUGAGGAGUACAUAUCAGAACCCUAAGAGGUACCUUGUGUUGAGAAUCCAAAUAUGAACACCUGACAUCAAAUUCCACUCUGGCAACUGUGAGUUCAAGGGAAAAGCAGCUGACACAAGGA
RNAcentral lists this long non-coding RNA (328 nucleotides) under Pogona vitticeps (central bearded dragon). RNAcentral describes it as "lncRNA (ENSPVIG00000008877.1)". The record is from RNAcentral. Lineage: Eukaryota; Metazoa; Chordata; Lepidosauria; Squamata; Agamidae.